GUAGUCCACGCCCUAAACGAUGAAUACUCGAUGUUGGCGAUAUACAGUCAGCGUCUAAGGGAAACCGUUAAGUAUUCCACCUGGGGAGUACGUCCGCAAGGAUGAAACUCAAAGAAAUUGGCGGGGGUCCGCACAAGCGGUGGAUUAUGUGGUUUAAUUCGAUGAUACGCGAGGAACCUUACCAGGGCUAGAAUGUAAUUGGAAUAUAGAGGAAACUUUAUAGCUAGCAAUAGCCGGUUACAAGGUGCUGCAUGGUUGUCGUCAGCUCGUGCCGUGAGGUGUUGGGUUAAGUCCCGCAACGAGCGCAACCCCUAUCGUUAGUUACCAUCAUUAAGUUGGGGACUCUAGCGACACUGCCCGUGCAAACGGAGA
This 372-nucleotide ribosomal RNA is filed under the name uncultured bacterium. Its description in RNAcentral is "bacterial SSU rRNA". It matches the Rfam family "Bacterial small subunit ribosomal RNA", at positions 790 to 1167 of the family's 1533-position model. The record is from RNAcentral.